AUUUAGCUGAUGAGUUCCAAAUAGAUUGAAACGCGCGUUCUGGAU
Schistosoma margrebowiei is the source of this 45-nucleotide non-coding RNA. NCBI's taxonomy places the organism in Eukaryota, Metazoa, Platyhelminthes, Trematoda, Strigeidida, Schistosomatidae. The record is from Rfam.